Molecule: long non-coding RNA, 12633 nt
Filed under: Nicotiana tabacum (common tobacco)
Lineage: Eukaryota; Viridiplantae; Streptophyta; Magnoliopsida; Solanales; Solanaceae
Description: long non-coding RNA (NTAB_LNC015822)
Source: RNAcentral
CGAGCCCUAGUAUCUGAGCUGCCUACAUAUCCUUGGCUAUAAAGGAAUCAUGCCACGUGUAGUUCAGAAGUGAGUGAGAUGAUGGAGUAUACCGAGGUGGAGAGCCGAUCGAGGUGCCAUUCUGUCGAGGUUCCGGUCUGCGGUCCUGUUAUUACAUCAAAAUAAAAAAAUUAAAAAAAAAGACUAACUAAGCCUGUCAACUAUGAGUUACAAGAUUCCUAUCUAUAAGUCUUCUGAAGCUUGAUCUUGAGUCUUGAAUGGUUCUACAUGCAGACUUUGGAUUUGAACCUUGACGCUUGCUAGUUGCAGGUGCUAGUUCAUUCUUCUCCAGCUUUUCGGAUUAAAAUCGGACUUCACACCAUGCUUGUGACUUCAGUCAUGUCUUGAGCAGCUCACAUCUUUCAUCAACUUCUGCAUUUGGAUUCACUUCUUGCCUUUCUUUUUUUUAAUUAUAGAUUGUGACUAACUUUCGUUGAUCAUCUCGGACUGUUGACUCGUAUUCUUGCCGCGAGCUUCUUUUGUUGCUGACUUGAAUUGCAUAAACCUGUGUUGUCUUCCUUUGAAACUUGAAUUGCUUUCCUUGUUCUCCAGGUGGGUGCCUGAUUGCCAAAACUUGAACUGUAUUCCCUUGCUCUCAGGGUGGGCGCCUGAUUGCCAAGACUUUAACUGUAUUCCCUUGCUCUCCAGGUGGGCGCCUGAUUGCCAAACUUUAACUGCAUUCCCUUGCUCUCCAGGUGGAUUGCCAAGACUUAAACUGUAUUCCCUUGCUCUCUAGGUGAGCGCCUGAUUGCCAAACUUUAACUGCAUUCCCUUGCUCUCCAGGUGGGCACCUGAUUACCAAAAUUUUAACUGCAUUCCCUUGUUCUCCAAGCGGGCGCCUGAUUGCCAAAACUUCAACUGUAUUCUCUUGCUCUUCAGGUAGGCGUCUGAUUGCCAAAAUAUGAACUGAUUUUCCUCGAAACUUGACAUGUUUCUCCUUGUUCUCCAGGUGGGUGCCUGAUUUCCAACACUUGCGCAUGUUUUUCCUUGAGACUUGAACUGUUUCUCCUUGAAACUUGACAUGUUUCUCCUUGUUCUCUAGGUGGGUGCCUGAUUUCCAACACUUGCGCAUGUUUUUCCUUGAGACUUGAACUGCUUCUCCUUGUUCUCCAGGUGGGUGUCUGAUUUCCAACACUUGCAUAUGUUUUUCCUUGAGACUUGAACUGCUUCUCCUUGUUCUCCAGCUGAGCGCCUGAUUUCCAACACUUGCACUGCUUUUCUUUGAAACUUGCACUGCUUCUCCUUAUUCUCCAGGUGGGCGCCUGAUUCCGACACUUGCAUUGCUUUUCUUUGAAACUGUUUUCCCUUGAAACUUGAACUGGCUUCCCUUGUUCUCCAGGUGGGCGCCUGAUUGCUGAACUUGACCCGCUUUCCUUUGAAACUUGAGUUGUUUUCUCUUAUUCUCCAGGUGGGCGCCUGAUUACUGAACCUGAAUUGUCCUCUUCUUGAAACUGCUUUUCUUUUGAACUGUCUUCCCUUGUUUCCCCAGGUGGGUGCCUGAUUGCUUGAACAUGAACUUCUUUCUAUUCUUGAAACUCAUGUUGUCUUCCCUUAUUCUCCAGGUGGGUGCCUGAUUUCAACAAAACAGACAAAACAAAAGAAAUUUUUCUGCUCUAGUUUGAUAUUGGGAACAUCUGUAAGUAUUAACCGAUUCUUGUUAUCAAAAUAAAUACUAAGCUAAAUUCCCUUAUCCUGAAAGAUUUCAAACCAAGUCUCAUCUCAAAAGUGAAAAUUUUAAAUGCUAAACUAUACUUCCCAAAAGUAAAACUCUUGUCAGACCUUGUCACUUGCGAGGAUCUCAAAACUUACUAAAUUUCGUUAUCCAGGAGGGUACUAGAAACUUACUGCCGAGCCUAUCUGGCACCUGCUUUUCUUACGGAGGGUUUCUCCAAAACAAACAAAAUUUCAUGCCCCUGUUUCAACCAAAGAAAACUUGUGAGUUUAAACAUGGUGGUUGGUUUGCGGCCUUGACUUUGAAGGCGAUUGUUCCUUUACUUCCCAUGAUAACUUCGAUUUCACCUCGAAAGACCUUGCCUGUUUAUUGACUGACCACUUACUCUGUCACUCUUAUCACGAAAAAUACCUCUGAUCCGUUCGAACCCAAUACCAUUCAUCUAUUGUAUUAUGCUCAUGCAUUGACAUAUACUGAACCUUUGUAUUUCACAUGAAUCCCAAAGCACGUCAAUUGUCACCCACUUAGUGUGCAUGCUGUUCUUUCCUGACUUAACCCACUAGUCUUGACCUUGAGGUCUAUUGCUCCUUCACUUGCCAUGAUAACUUUGAUUUCCGCUUGGAAGACCUUGCUUGUCAUUGGUUAACCACUUUCUCUGUCAACCUUAUCACAGAAAAUACCUUUGAUCUGUUCACCCAACAUCCAUUCAUCUGUUGCAUUGUUCAUGAAUUGACAUAUACCAAACCUUUGUAUUUCACAUGAAUCCCAAAGCACGUUGAUUGUUACCAACUCAGUGCGCACGCUAUUUUUUCCUGACUUAUGCCACUUUGAUAUGCUAGUCAGAUUCCAUUUUGUGCAAUUGGAAAGCUGGUGGCAAAAUUUGAAGUCAUUUCUCACUUGUUCUGACCAAACAGACUCAGGGAGAGAAAGUAAACAAGACAAAAGGAACAGAGUGAAGGACAAUGGAAAGAGAUGAUUCCUAACAAGAAAACUAUAAAGUAGAAACUUAUNNNNNNNNNNNNNNNNNNNNNNNNNUUAUCCACUCUGAUUCAUGAUCCUUAUUCGACUUGUAGUGCCCGAAGGGUUUCACCAUCAAGCCUCUCACAUUUUGUUCUUUCUCUCAACUCACCAUCGCCUUAUGGUGUCUGUGAAGGUUUUCGCCAAUAAGUCUCUCAUUUUGUUCUUUUCUUCUUAUUUCCUCUGAUUCUGCAGAUGACAAGGCAUUAACCAUGGUAAAUACAUCACAUACUAUUGGCAUGUCUAAACUCAGCACUCUCAAAGAUUAUCUGGGAGGUCUUUUUGGAUUGUGAUGUGGCUUUUGGAUAAGGUUAGAAAGAAAGGAUAUCAUAAAGGCUCAAAAUAACUAGGACAAUGGGGUUAAUUUAUUUAUAACUUUUGGAAUCUAUUCUAAAAACUUUGCCCCAAUUUCUAAAACAAGGGAAUUUGAUUCUCUUUUUUUUCCUUUCUUUUUACUAAGAAAAACUGUCCCACUCUCGACUUCGUGGGAUUGUGAAAUAUUUUAUUUGAUAUGACCGAACCGUAAGGCUGCCUACGUAUCUUGUGGUGACAAGAAUUAGGUCAAACGUAGUUCACACGACUACUUUUGUUACUAUUUUCCUUUUUCUUUUUUUCUUUUUUUUCUUUUUCCUUUUUUUUUCUUUUUCUCUUUUUUCUUUAUCUCUAUUUUUUCUCUUUUUUUUGAAUUUUCCUUUUGGAAUGAACUUUCUAAAAUAAACAUAUGGGGACAUGAACUUUUUUUUUAGUACGACUCUAACUUGAUUCCAAAAGAGGGGAGGUCAAAGAAAUCAAUACAAGCUCAAAAGGGGUACCAAAGGGUAUAAAGUGUUUGGAUAACUAAAAGAGGGCUUCCCAAUCUCUAAGAAAACCAAGUAUAACACAUACAACUUGAAAAUGAAAAUGAAGAUCAUGCAUAGCAUUUCUUUUGCAGCAUCGGCAUUGGUAUCAUUGAUAUGCCUUCCACUUUUUUUAGUGUUUUGUCAAGUACAGAACCCUCGUUGGGUGAUUCCCUCUUCACAAUGGAUAUCCUCCGUCAAUUUAGAGAAAACUUCCUUGACUUUAUCUUGUAACUUGAGAUGCACUUGAACUCAAAGUUGCUUGCUUCAAAUCGUCCAGGAUGCACUCCCCCUUAACGAAUUCUUGUCACCCUAUCAACUUUCCAAAUUAUCUGCCCAGUUUCACACAAUUCGAGCUUUAAGUGAUCUCAAAAAUCCUUUUACUUACUUUCCUCAAAUGUCCCUAUCAUCUUCAAAAUUAUUUUAUUGCUUCAUGAUUAAGCUAACUUUUAAGACCAGGCCUAGAAUUAUGCGUGCAUGUCAUGUCACUAGAGUCAGCAGGAAAAGAACUAUAAAAGGAAAAGAGAACUAAACAAACACUGACUAGAAAUAACAGAAAACAGGAAAUUACAUUAGACAAAUGUUGACAAGGUUUGAACAACAAGACAAGCAAAAUAAACUGGGUACAACCCUGGAAUAAACCUAGAUAACACUAAAUAAGUUACUACGACUAAAGGAACUAGGCAAAAUAAAAGGGAUGGAAGGGUUUGAGUCACAAUACAAUAUCCGGAUUACAACCCUGAAAUAACCCGGACAAAAGAAAUGACAACAAAAUGAACCACCAAAACUCCUCCCUGGCUAGCCAAGAAAGGGGCGUCUUUCCAAUUACCAAGCUCGGUAUCUUAGCCACUGAGUUCCACAUCAAUAUCACUGGGACCUUCACCAACUUCAAUCAUGUUGUCUUCACCAAGUGGCUCAUUGACUCCUUUGACCAACCCUUUGUCACAACCCAAACCGAUGGGCCGCGACGGGCACCCGGUACCUUACUCAACCGAGUACCAAUGUAACGUAUCUUUCUUAUUACAUCAUCAUAUACACGUGACAUACGGGCCUAAUAGGCUAACAUAAUCAUUUAUAGACUCAAAAAAUAGGCCGACAAGGUCGUACAAUCUUUCACGUACAAGACAUAUGUCUACAAUCCUCUAAGAAUACAUAAAUGUCAUAAAGGUCGGGACAGAGUCCCGUCAUGCCAAACAAUACACAUCUAAAUCAUACUAACCAAAUGAGCAACUCCGAAGCAAAUGGAGCGCACCAACAUCUUUCACUGAGCUGAUAGCCUACUUGGAGGGCUCUCGACCUGUCUAUUGGGACCUGCGGGCAUGAAACGCAGCGUCCCCAGGCAAAAGGGAUGUCAGCACGAAUAAUGUACCGAGUAUGUAAGGUACAUAAAUAAAUACAUAAGAGACAUGGAAAACAUAUAGAGUACAUGACUCAACCUGUAAGUAUGAAUAACUUUGUAGAUCAUAAAUUACUUUUAGCGUCAUGCAUGUGCGUAUGAAUGUCAUGUCGUGCAUAGGUACAUGUUUCAUAACAUCAUCAGCCUCUGAGGGCAUUCCAUUAUAUCAUACCGGCCACUGUGGGCAAAAUCAUCAUCGUAUACCAGCUGAUCAGGUGGUGGUGCGUAUAUAACGCCAUAACCUUUCCCAUAUCCCAUAUACAUAUAUUUACAUAUAUACGCGUAUAUAACGCCGUUUGAGUACAUACAUAUAUAUGCGUAUAUAACGUCGUUUGAAUCAUAUUUCAGUCACUGUAGGCAACAUCAUCAUCAUAUAUCAGCUGAUCAGGUGGUGAUGCGUAUAUAACACUGUAACCUUUUCCCAUAUCCCAUAUACAUAUAUUUACACAUAUACGCGUAUAUAACGAUAUCUGGUCAUGGGUCAGUGCACAUGAAUGCAGUGCAUAAAAAGUACGUCAAUAAAAUUAUUCGGAAUGUCAUAAGACCAUUUUGCCUCUGAGUAAUAUCAUAAAGUAAACUCUUUUCAACUUUCGUAUUUUUCUGAGAACCAUGAACAGAUGAUAAGACAUUAUAACACACGGAAAUUCAAGAACACAGAUAUCUCUAAUACUUCUAUGAAUAGAGUCAUUCGUGGAAUUUGUGCAUUUGCACGUUCCGUUCAUAUCGUAUGGAUCAUGCCAAAAGAAAGAAGGGAUAGCCUUAACAUACCUGAAGUAGGAAAGACUCAAUAUAAUACUGUGUUGGAAAACCUUCGUUGAUUAAGCUAAAUUUGCCCCUGCUUCUUUAGAAAUUCACAGAUGAAAUUUUAUCUGGUUCCUUGAAUUUCUUUGGAACGAUUCACAUUUUUGGCUUUGAUGGAAUAAGGUUCUGUAUCUUUACGUUUUUGUUUUUUUUUAAACCAAAGAAUGCAAUGUUGUUUGGUUUUUAAUGAAGCAAAAUGUUUCUAAUUUAAUGGAAUGUCGUUCGCUUUUUUUUUUAAGCCCAAAGGCAGAUUGUUUUCUGAAGCCUUUUCAAGACCAAAUGUCUUGGAUAAAUCAAAUCUUAUCAGACAAAGACUUAAGUUAUCACAUCUUGGCCAUUUGGCAAAGUGAAUACUUAGUCAUUUCCAAUUGUUGUGGCUUCUUGCCACGUGGGUAGGGGUGGGAUAUUAAUUUUUAUCCACUUAUUAGUUAACUGGGUAAUGUCCUGUUACUCGGUAAUUAAUCAAUUACCCGUAUAAUUUUAAAAAUUANNNNNNNNNNNNNNNNNNNNNNNNNNNNNNNNNNNNNNNNNNNNNNNNNNNNNNNNNNNNNNNNNNNNNNNNNNNNNNNNNNNNNNNNNNNNNNNNNNNNNNNNNNNNNNNNNNNNNNNNNNNNNNNNNNNNNNNNNNNNNNNNNNNNNNNNNNNNNNNNNNNNNNNNNNNNNNNNNNNNNNNNNNNNNNNNNNNNNNNNNNNNNNNNNNNNNNNNNNNNNNNNNNNNNNNNNNNNNNNNNNNNNNNNNNNNNNNNNNNNNNNNNNNNNNNNNNNNNNNNNNNNNNNNNNNNNUACUAGUUUAUAAUUAUCGGGUAUUAUCGCUCGACCCGUAUUUUAUUCCAAAUUGACUACUUUCAACGAAACUCGUUUUCUCUAAUUCGUAUACCCUCUUAUUCUUCAUAACACUUAUUUAUUGCCUGCUAUAAAUAGCGUAAGUACGUUAACGUCAAGAUGAUCUCAUUCCCGAUCUUACAUCGGUUAACUGAAAAUGAAAUUUUAACGUACAAUACUUUAGGGUGCAACAUCGUUGUAACUUAAUACUGCGAAACGUGACAUCACCAUAAUGUAAUACUGUGGGACGUGACAUCUCAUUUCCGGGCUCUCAUUAAUUUAUUUAUGGUGUAUUUUCAUGUACGAAAAUAUGGGGUGUAACACCCUUCGUCAUUGCAAACCAUCCCAACAAUCUGUGCGUUGUCAUGUACCUGUAGAGAAUUAUGUGUGACACUUGGGGUAUUACUGCCUUGGACCACAAUUAUUCCUUCUUGAAUCAUUCUUUCUAUUUCCCUUUUCAAAGCACGACAAUCUUUAAUGCUAUGCCCUUGGACAUUAGAGUGGUACAUGCACCGUAUAGUACGAUUAAAACCUUUUGCAUAUGGGUCUAGCGUAUAGCCGAGGAGCGGCUCAAUCAGACCAGAAUGUUUUAACUUUCCAAACAGGCUUGUAUAGGAUUCUCCUAUUGGCGUGAAACUAUUUCUUUGUCUUUGUUUCCCUUCAUGCCCCAGUUUUCUAGAGUUGUUGGAUGCUCGAAAGUGCUGUGAAGGAAAAAGUGCAUUAUGCGGUGCUGGCGCUCGCCAUGAGGAAUGACCCAGUGGUUGGACAGAUGACCGAAUGUUGUUCGGAAGAUAAUACUGGGGUGAAUUAUGUGGUGCUUGGGGAUGUUCAUAGGGUCAGUAUUGAGGCUGAAAGCGUUUAGCAGGAAUGCCCCCCGGAUCCUGUCGUUGGCGGGACUCAGCAACGUCUUUUCUAUCAAUGGGAGGACUGUCCCGAGCAACUUGUUCGUUCAUCUGAACCAAAAUUUCCUAAAAAUUUCCUUGGGUUUCUUUUCCAUCUAAGAUAUGGAGGAGCGGUCUGAGACAAUAUCUAUAUUGUACUGAAAGUGUCGUACAAAAUCUCGAGCCAUGUCAUCUCAUGUAUGCCACUUACCGACAUCUUGAUGAGUAUGCCAUUCCAAAGCUGCCCCAGUCAGGCUCUCACUGAAAUACGCCAUCAGCAACUCAUCUUUCCCGCCAACACUUAUCAUUUUACUGCAAUAACCCCUCAGAUGGGCUAUUGGAUCUCCACGCCCAUCAUACAAAUUAAACUUUGGGAUCUUAAACCCUUUCAGCUUUCUGGAUAUCUCAUCUUGCUCCACUGUCUUAGCAGGAUUUACAGUCUCAUCGGGAGGCUCAAAAUGAGGAACGUAAGAGUAUGGACCCGAGAUCUUGAAAAUUGGUUCUGGAGCAUAGUGUUGGGCAUUGGAGAUUUUGAACACAAUCUCGCUAAAGGAUCGAGGAAAGGUAGCAGGUGGAUGAGCCACAAAAAUAUGAGUGGUCAAAGGAGCGGGAUAUGAGGUGGUUCUGGGGGUGGAGUGUGAAAAGGUUGUGGGGAGAUAUCUCGGACUUAUGACAGUGGCGGAAUGGUGACAAGGCUUUUAGUGUAGUUAGUGGGAACUGAUGGUGGAGGACGCCCACUAAUCCAGGCUUGGUAUAUUUCGGUCAUCUAUCCUUUCAACCUUAAAACUUCUUCUUUCAACUCAGAUUCUGAUUCAACAAUUCCCUUAGACAGAUCAAUAAAGUCCAAAUCUUUGCUAGCCAUAGUUACCUUGCUCUUUGACCUUGUGUUGUAUGGAUGAGUUACUUAAGAACCACAAACCAACCACCCUUCUGCUUAAUGAAGAUAACAAAAGGAACAAAAUGGGGUCAUCCUGUUAGCAUUAGGACAUUUAACAGCUAAAAAUAUCACAUUGUGUGCAAUGCACCUAGCAAUAAUUAAUGGUUCUAGAAUGACUUCGAGGGUCACAAGGUCACUUGACAUCAUCCCAAUUUGUUCCCUUCAAUCAUCUCUUUUCGUUUCUUUUCUAGCACUUGCUUGCUCAUUUUCCUUACUUUCUUUUUCUUACUGAUUAUCGCUCUUUUCUUUCCUCUCAUUUCUCACGUCCCACAACUUCAUCCUCUUUUUUCGUAUUUCUUUAUUUUUCUUUUAAUAAAAAAAUGAUUCAAUCGAACCUUAUGUAGGUUGCCUACGUAUCAUAAUGCUGCAUGAAUCAUAUCAUUGCGUAGUUCGGGAAGAUCAGGAAUAAAGUAAACAAAGUAACAUUUUCUUUUUUUUUUUCUUUUCUUUUUCUUUUCUUUAACGAAUACUGUGAUGAGAAAUUAUAAAGGAAAAACCCCUAGAAGAGAAAAAAUAUUUUUUGAUUUUUUUUCCUUUUUAAGAAGGAAAUCUUAAGGCUAAACCAAAGAAAAAAUAUUUUGAAUUUUCAUUUGAUAUCUCUGAAGAAAGAUUUCGAAACGAGAAAUGAACAAGAUAAAAAAUAUUUUUGGAUUUCAGUUUGAUUACCUAAGGGAGAAACACUGAAAAUAAACCAAAGAUAAAGUAUGUUGUUUUCUUUUUCUUUUAUGUACAAUGUCCUAAAGUUAUAGUAAAAAUAAAAAGAAUUUUUUUCUAUUCAUUUUCCAUUAAUUUCCCAAAGAAGAACAUCAAAAGAAAAUCUUUUUGGAUUUUUGGAAUUAAUAUCUUAAAGAAAACUUUUAAAAAGGUACUAAAAGGAAGUUCUUUUUUUUUUUGAAUUUUUAGUUUUAAUAUACUAAAGGAAAUAUAAAAUUACUUUUUUAUUUUGAGUUCUAGAUAUUAAUUUCCUAAAGGAAAACCACCUUAAAAGAAUUUUUUUAUUUCUAGAAUUAGUAUUCUAAAGAAAACUUCUAACAGAAAUAUAAAACACAAAACCUCUUUUUUUGGAUUUUUGAGUUACAACACACCUUUUAAAAUAUAAAGUAGAAAGUACAAUAACAAAAGACUCGACAUUACUGUACAAAACUAAAAAGUAAAAGAUGACAUAAAAUGAAGAACAGACUCAAAACAUAAAAAAUAAAAAAAAUCUCCUUAAGUCACUCCUGAAUGAGCGAUCCUGACUGGAUGGUCCCGGGUCAUACCCAAACUCCGGUAAGUAGGUCCAUACAUGUAUGAGAAAAUUAAGACCAAAUAAAGUUAAAGACCUAGAACGCUACGUGGGACAAUAACCCUUCCUGUUGGACACAUGCAAGACAUGAUUGUGACUAUUUUUCUAAAAUUAACCUAUGUGGCUAAAAGUGACUAAAAAUACAAGAUUUGGCUAAAACCCUGCGAAGCCAAGAACUUAAGACUUACUAGAAAAACUGGACCCUAUGUGGGUUGCCUACGUACCCAAAAGAUGAGAAUCAGGUAUGCGUAGUUCGGGCAGAUUGGAUACGACAAGAAUUAUAAAAAACAACUAAUUUAGAGAAAAUAUAUUUUUUGUCCUUUUUUUCUUGAAAAAUGAUGAAAUAUGUAAAAUCUUUUGGAUUUUCUUCUUCCUUUUUUUUUAUUUUUGGAAAAUGAUGGGAAAGUGCAAAAUCUUUAUGGAUUUUUCAUAUAUUUUUUUGGGUCUUUUUCUUAAAAAAAAAAAAAAGUGAAAGAAAAACAUAAUUGCGCCCUACUUGCUUUACUUUCAUACUUCACCCUUUUUUUCUUUCUCAUUUACCCUCAGCCAUCAUUGGUCUGCCACAUGACCCUUUUACCCUUGAAGAAAUGUAACAUGUAGCACAAAGGAUGCAUCAGGAUGGUCUUUUAUUUUUGGGUACACUUGACCUAGACGGACCCAGCCCUUAUGUUAAGUCCCCUAAGUCAAAUGCACAUGAUGCAACAAACGUUCCUACUAGGGAUCCAGCAUGAGGCUAUGUUAUUCUAGGUUUAAAAACCUGGGUUUAUUUGUUCUAGACCUGGCUUACCCGAGCGGACAGCUCGAGCCGAGGGGGGCAGCGUACCGGGAAUACAGAAGCUUCACCGGCUUUGCAACUUGUCUGAACCUCGUUCUAAAGAUUGGGAUAUGACUCUAACAGAAGAGAAGUCACAUGAAGUGUACAUUUCCCAGAUGAUUUAGAAGACUCAAAGAGAGGAGGGUUUCGUAACAUUAUAUAUAUACAGUCCAAACAACAUCAAAGCGGUAAAAAGCAGCAAUUAGCACAUUAGGCUCAAAUAUAUAAAAAUCAGAUAAUAAAUAAAAGCCAACUAUAGCAGUUAUUCUAAGCUCGAAUUUUGAACCCUGAACCAAAAGUUCUGGGUUCUUAUCCCCAGCAGAGUCGUCAAAGCUGCCACAUCUUCUUUUUACUACCCCAAAAGGGAUAUAAGGGAGCUUGUCCAAUUUAAGUGACAAUCGAAACAGGAUUAUUUUGUUUAUUCAGAGUCACCACUUGGGAUAAUUUAUGGUGUCCCAAGUCACCGGUUAAAAUCCCGAAUCGAGGAAGUUGAUUCUAUUUACGGUCUGCGAAUAUAGAAAUCCGGGUAAGGAAUUCUGUUAAUCCGUGAGAAGGUGUUAGGCAUUUCUGGGUUCUGUGGUUUUAGCACGGUCGCUCAACUAUUAACAAUUGACCUAAUUAUCUGAUUAACUAUACAUUUUAAACUUACGUGCAUUUUUAACUUUAUCACAACUUUUAAUGUUUUUUAGGAAAAUUCAAGAUCAUUUAAAGCACAUCGUAAGCCACGCUACAUGAAAUGCACCCGUGGUUCACGACAUGUUCUAUUUAACCUUGUUGAAAAUUAGAAUCGGGUCACAUGAAUGUACAUCCGGAUUGGAGAUUACGUAUCGUGACCAUGCCACGGGAACCGUACCCAUAAUCACGAUGAUUAUUUACACGCCGAAAAGUUGCCUAAACAUACGGCUAGCGAUUAAAAUAGUAAAGUAAAUAAUUAACAUGAAAAUUUCGACUUUUCAACCUUAACGCCCAACCCUGCAACCAUCACAUAGAUCAUUAACUGUGCUUCCCUAAUACUUACAUAAAUUUACUACAAAGAAAACUAAUUAACUACAGUGAUAGAAAACAUAACACUUAGAGAAGAGCAUUGCUUUGAAAUACGACAAAAUCAUGAAAAAGAUAAAGAAAGAAAAGGUGAAAAGCUAACAAUAAGAACGGGAAAAAUUAAAGGUAUUUUUAACCCAUUUUAAUGACUACCAAAGUUCUUAGAAUCUGAAAGAGGUAUUACUGCCAAGAAUUUUAUAACAAGCAAAAUUUCAGAAAAAGAAAGGAAAUAAGCAUUAGCAAAAAAACGUGUUUGAAAAUUUAUUCUAACAUUUAAAUUACCCAAAUGUCAUAAUUUGAAAUUGAGAUAGAUAAUUCCACUAAUAUAAUGUCAAAAUACGUUCAUCCCUUCCAUUUUUAUUCUAGUUAAAUAAAAGAUUACGACAAAGAGAGAGUGAACCUUUGCAAUUGCUGAAACUUCCUCAAAAAUGGACUAAGUGGGAUGUUGACCGGAUCAGAAACCACGCCGACGACCUCGAACGGACCUCAUCAACCCAAAAAAUUCACCGGGUAAACUCGAACCUCUUGAACCCAACUCGAAAUUCUAGCUAAACAGUUCAAUGAUGGAGUGGAGUUGUCAGAUUGUCGGACUCAGAGUAACUAGUAGCUAGCACCGGUGGAGAACAGCAUAUUCGCGAGGAAAUGAGGAAUUGAGGAUGGAUCUGUUUGUUACUUUUAAGGAUUACAUUUCUUAUUCCUAAUUGUUGUUUUGUAGAGAUUUGUUUAUUCCUAAUUUUAUAUUAUAAAACAAGAAAGAGGGAUUGAGAAGGUGCAGCGGGGUGUUGAUUCUUGUGUUAAUUUUGUGUGAGAGAGGAAGGGAACGUUGGGGGUGUGCUCAACGGGUGUAAUGGCUGCUUUUCAUUUUUGUGCAUAUGUCUUAAGUGUUUCCAAUGAGAAGACGAUUAGGGGAGGGUCUAGGAUUUAGGGGGUCUGCGGCGGAUCUCUCUAGGUAGGGAUCUAGGGUCUUGUUUGUUUUAUAGGGGUUUUUUAGGUUAGGAGGUAUCGACCUAGGAAUUAUGGGCUUGGGAAUUAUGGGCUAGAUCCGAAAAUUAGGCCUAAAAAUGGGUCGUUUGAGCCCAAAUUUUAUUCUUU